This 74-nucleotide transfer RNA is filed under the name Christensenellaceae bacterium. Its description in RNAcentral is "tRNA-Gln". It matches the Rfam family "tRNA". Rfam says of the family: Transfer RNA (tRNA) molecules are approximately 80 nucleotides in length. Their secondary structure includes four short double-helical elements and three loops (D, anti-codon, and T loops). The record is from RNAcentral. Lineage: Bacteria; Bacillati; Bacillota; Clostridia; Christensenellales; Christensenellaceae.
AGGGGUGUCGCCAAGCGGUAAGGCAAACGGCUCUGACCCGUUCAUCGACUGUUCGAACCAGUCCACCCCUGCCA